GUUUAACACUGCAAGUCGAACGGAAACGAAAAUAGCUUGCUAUUUGGCGUCGAGUGGCGAACGGGUGAGUAACGCGUAGGAAUCUACCCAGUAGAGGGGGAUAGCCCGAAGAAAUUCGGAUUAAUACCGCAUAAUCUCUACGGAGUAAAGAAGGCCUCUUUACAAUGCUUUUACUAUUGGAUGAGCCUGCGUUAGAUUAGUUAGUUGGUAGGGUAAAAGCCUACCAAGGCGACGAUCUAUAGCUGGUUUUACGAGAAUGAUCAGCCACACUGGAACUGAGACACGGUCCAGACUCCUACGGGAGGCAGCAGUGAAGAAUAUUGGACAAUGGGGGAAACCCUGAUCCAGCAAUGUUGCGUGUGUGAAGAAGGUCCGAGGAUUGUAAAGCACUUUCAGUAAGCAAGAAAAAUGUAAAUCUAAUAGAUUUGCAUGUUGACCACUUAUAGAAGAAGCACCGGCUAACUCCGUGCCAGCAGCCGCGGUAAUACGGAGGGUGCGAGCGUUAAUCGGAAUUACUGGGCGUAAAGGGUAAGUAGGCGGUUUAUAAAGUCACAUGUGAAAGCCCUAGGCUUAACCUAGGAAGUGCA
This 587-nucleotide ribosomal RNA is filed under the name uncultured bacterium. RNAcentral's name for it is "bacterial SSU rRNA". It matches the Rfam family "Bacterial small subunit ribosomal RNA", at positions 46 to 625 of the family's 1533-position model. The record is from RNAcentral.